Molecule: ribosomal RNA, 484 nt
Filed under: uncultured bacterium
Lineage: Bacteria
Description: partial 16S ribosomal RNA
Rfam family: Bacterial small subunit ribosomal RNA
Source: RNAcentral
AUUGAACGCUGGCGGCAGGCCUAACACAUGCAAGUCGAGCGGAUGAAGGGAGCUUGCUCCUGGAUUCAGCGGCGGACGGGUGAGUAAUGCCUAGGAAUCUGCCUGGUAGUGGGGGAUAACGUCCGGAAACGGGCGCUAAUACCGCAUACGUCCUGAGGGAGAAAGUGGGGGAUCUUCGGACCUCACGCUAUCAGAUGAGCCUAGGUCGGAUUAGCUAGUUGGUGGGGUAAAGGCCUACCAAGGCGACGAUCCGUAACUGGUCUGAGAGGAUGAUCAGUCACACUGGAACUGAGACACGGUCCAGACUCCUACGGGAGGCAGCAGUGGGGAAUAUUGGACAAUGGGCGAAAGCCUGAUGCAGCCAUGCCGCGUGUGUGAAGAAGGUCUUCGGAUUGUAAAGCACUGUAAGUUGGGAGGAAGGGCAGUAAGUUAAUACCUGGCUGUUUUGACGUUACCAACAGAAUAAGCACCGGCUAACUUCGUG